GCGGAUGGAUUGAGAGCUUGCUCUCAAGAAGUUAGCGGCGGACGGGUGAGUAACACGUGGGUGACCUGCCCAUAAGACUGGGAUAACUCCCGGAAACCGGGGCUAAUACCCGAUCAUAUUUUGAACUGCAUGGAUCCAAAUUGCAAGGCGGCUUCCGCUGUCACUUAUGGAUGGACCCGCGUCGCAUGAGCUAGUUGGUGAGGUAACCCCUCACCAAGGCAACGAUGCGGACCCAACCUGAGAGGGUGAUCGGCCACACUGGGACUGAGACCCGGCCCCGACUCCUACGGGAGGCAGCAAUAAGGAAUCUUCCCCAAAGGACGAAAGUCUGACGGAGCGACGCCGCGUGAGUGAUGAACGCUUUCGGGUCGUAAAACUCUGUUGUUAGGGAAGAACAAGUGCUAGUUGAAUAAGCUGGCACCUUGACGGUACCUAACCACAAAGCCACGGCUAACUACGUGCCACCAGCCGCGGUAAUACGUAGGUGGCAAGCGUUAUCCCGAAUUAUUGGGCGUAAAGCGCGCGCAGGUGGUUUCUUAAGUCUGAUGUGAAAGCCCACGGCUCAACCGGGGAGGGUCAUUGGAAACUGGGAGACUUGAGUGCAGAAGAGGAAAGUGGAAUUCCAUGUGUAGCGGUGAAAUGCGUAGAGAUAUGGAGGAACACCAGUGGCGAACGCUACUUUCUGGUCUGUAACUGACACUGAGGCGCGAAAGCGUG
This 717-nucleotide ribosomal RNA is filed under the name Bacillus thuringiensis. RNAcentral describes it as "bacterial SSU rRNA". It matches the Rfam family "Bacterial small subunit ribosomal RNA", at positions 66 to 763 of the family's 1533-position model. The record is from RNAcentral. Lineage: Bacteria; Bacillati; Bacillota; Bacilli; Caryophanales; Bacillaceae.